AGAGUUUGAUCAUGGCUCAGGACGAACGCUGGCGGCGCGCUUAACACAUGCAAGUCGAGCGAGAACCUUGCCUUCGGGCUUGGGGACAGCGGCGAACGGGUGAGUAACACGUGGGUAAUCAACCCUCGACACUGGGAUAGCCCGGGGAAACUCGGAUUAAUACCGGAUACCCCAUCUGGCCUUCGGGCCGGCUGGAAAAGGUAGCUUUGGCCUCCGGUCGAGGACGAGCCCGCGGCGGAUUAGCUUGUUGGCGGGGUAAAAGCCCACCAAGGCGACGAUCCGUAGCUGGUCUGAGAGGACGAUCAGCCACACUGGGACUGAGACACGGCCCAGACUCCUACGGGAGGCAGCAGUGGGGAAUCUUGCGCAAUGGGCGAAAGCCUGACGCAGCGACGCCGCGUGAGGGAAGAAGGCCUUCGGGUUGUAAACCUCUUUCAGGAGGGACGAAGCCACUCGGGCUAAUAGCCCAGAGGGUGACGGUACCUCCAGAAGAAGCCCCGGCUAACUACGUGCCAGCAGCCGCGGUAAUACGUAGGGGGCAAGCGUUGUCCGGAUUUAUUGGGCGUAAAGAGCGUGUAGGCGGCCAUACAGGUCAGCUGUGAAAACUCGAGGCUCAACCUCGAGACGUCGGUUGAAACCGUAUGGCUAGAGUCCGGAAGAGGAGAGUGGAAUUCCCGGUGUAGCGGUGAAAUGCGCAGAUAUCGGGAAGAACACCUAUGGCGAAGGCAGCUCUCUGGGACGGUACUGACGCUGAGACGCGAAAGCGUGGGGAGCAAACAGGAUUAGAUACCCUAGUAGUCC
RNAcentral lists this ribosomal RNA (801 nucleotides) under uncultured bacterium. RNAcentral's name for it is "bacterial SSU rRNA". It matches the Rfam family "Bacterial small subunit ribosomal RNA", at positions 8 to 796 of the family's 1533-position model. The record is from RNAcentral.